AGCACCAGGCCCCAAGCUCCUGAAGCAAGAAGGUGAAUCUGGAGGUUUCAUCUAGACCUAAUUCAUACAGGAAUAAUGCUGAUGAAGUUUUGCAUCCUGUAGGCUCUACUGUCACCAUGGAUUUCCUUCAUCACCUAGUGAAGGGGAACAAUCGUGGGACAUCUCUGAGAGACUAGUGUGGAUUUCAUAGUCCUUGGCACAGAGCAGGCACAUGAUCCAAAUGAAACAUCCAUGUUGGAGUUGGAGACUACUUUGGCAGUGUGGUUUCACUCCCAUUCCACACUUU
Long non-coding RNA from Zalophus californianus (California sea lion), 286 nucleotides. RefSeq lists it as uncharacterized. The transcript has 3 exons. NCBI's taxonomy places the organism in Eukaryota, Metazoa, Chordata, Mammalia, Carnivora, Otariidae. The record is from RefSeq and is a predicted model, not a curated record.